GGCGGAUUGGCGAAAUUGGUAAACGCAUCGGACUUAAAAUCCGACGAAUAGUAAUAUUCUUGCAAGUUCAACUCUUGUAUCCGCUA
RNAcentral lists this transfer RNA (86 nucleotides) under Bacteriophage sp. Its description in RNAcentral is "tRNA-Leu". It matches the Rfam family "tRNA". From Rfam's summary of the family: Transfer RNA (tRNA) molecules are approximately 80 nucleotides in length. The record is from RNAcentral. RNAcentral also lists the same sequence under 1 other name.